Molecule: ribosomal RNA, 231 nt
Filed under: uncultured bacterium
Lineage: Bacteria
Description: partial 16S ribosomal RNA
Rfam family: Bacterial small subunit ribosomal RNA
Source: RNAcentral
UGAGCAACCUGCCCUUGACUCUGGAAUAACAGCUGGAAACAGCUGCUAAUACCGGAUACGACCUCCGAUGGCAUCAUCUGGAGGUGGAAAGCUCCGACGGUCAAGGAUGGGCUCGCGGCCUAUCAGCUUGUUGGUGAGGUAACGGCUCACCAAGGCUUCGACGGGUAGCCGGCCUGAGAGGGCGACCGGUCACACGUGGGACUGAGAUACCGGCCCAGACCUCGUACGGGA